This 266-nucleotide ribosomal RNA is filed under the name uncultured bacterium. RNAcentral's name for it is "partial 16S ribosomal RNA". It matches the Rfam family "Bacterial small subunit ribosomal RNA", at positions 1235 to 1500 of the family's 1533-position model. The record is from RNAcentral.
UGGUACGACGAGUCGCCAACCCGCGAGGGUGCGCUAAUCUCUUAAAACCAUUCUCAGUUCGGAUUGCAGGCUGCAACUCGCCUGCAUGAAGUCGGAAUCGCUAGUAAUCGCGGAUCAGCACGCCGCGGUGAAUACGUUCCCGGGCCUUGUACACACCGCCCGUCACACCACGGAAGUUGGGAGUACCCAAAGUAGGUUGCCUAACCGCAAGGAGGGCGCUUCCUAAGGUAAGACCGAUGACUGGGGUGAAGUCGUAACAAGGUAAC